AACGAACGCUGGCGGCAUGCCUAACACAUGCAAGUCGAACGAGGCCUUCGGGUCUAGUGGCGCACGGGUGCGUAACGCGUGGGAACCUGCCCUUAGGUUCGGAAUAACUCCCCGAAAGGGGUUCUAAUACCGGAUAAUGUCUUCGGACCAAAGAUUUAUCGCCUUUGGAUGGGCCCGCGUUGGAUUAGCUAGUUGGUAGGGUAAAAGCCUACCAAGGCGACGAUCCAUAGCUGGUCUGAGAGGAUGAUCAGCCACACUGGGACUGAGACACGGCCCAGACUCCUACGGGAGGCAGCAGUGGGGAAUAUUGGACAAUGGGCGAAAGCCUGAUCCAGCAAUGCCGCGUGAGUGAUGAAGGCCUUAGGGUUGUAAAGCUCUUUUACCCGGGAUGAUAAUGACAGUACCGGGAGAAUAAGCUCCGGCUAACUCCGUG
This 433-nucleotide ribosomal RNA is filed under the name uncultured bacterium. RNAcentral describes it as "partial 16S ribosomal RNA". It matches the Rfam family "Bacterial small subunit ribosomal RNA", at positions 29 to 507 of the family's 1533-position model. The record is from RNAcentral.